This 69-nucleotide transfer RNA is filed under the name Phenylobacterium zucineum. Its description in RNAcentral is "tRNA-Val". It matches the Rfam family "tRNA". From Rfam's summary of the family: Transfer RNA (tRNA) molecules are approximately 80 nucleotides in length. The record is from RNAcentral. Lineage: Bacteria; Pseudomonadati; Pseudomonadota; Alphaproteobacteria; Caulobacterales; Caulobacteraceae.
GUAGCUCAGCGGGAGAGCACCUCGUUCACACCGAGGGGGUCACAGGUUCAAUCCCUGUCGCAUCCACCA